This 253-nucleotide ribosomal RNA is filed under the name uncultured bacterium. Its description in RNAcentral is "partial 16S ribosomal RNA". It matches the Rfam family "Bacterial small subunit ribosomal RNA", at positions 524 to 776 of the family's 1533-position model. The record is from RNAcentral.
UACGAAGGGGGCUAGCGUUGCUCGGAAUCACUGGGCGUAAAGGGUGCGUAGGCGGGUCUUUAAGUCAGGGGUGAAAUCCUGGAGCUCAACUCCAGAACUGCCUUUGAUACUGAGGAUCUUGAGUACAGGAGAGGUGAGUGGAACUGCGAGUGUAGAGGUGAAAUUCGUAGAUAUUCGCAAGAACACCAGUGGCGAAGGCGGCUCACUGGCCCGUAACUGACGCUGAGGCACGAAAGCGUGGGGAGCAAACAGG